GGUUUCUUGACAUUAUUCAGUUCACUGGAAGACAUUCGUGGUCCUGUUUAUGGAUACAUAUGAAGUUAGGAAAGAUGUGGGGCAUGAGGGCUGAUGCCUGCCUGAUUAUGUAUUAAUGUUGGAAUCUGAUAUUCAAGAAAAAUUUGGUUAUUUUGAUUGGCUACCAUCACCUCCAAGAUUCUACAAGUCAAUAGCUGUUUCACUGAGGUGGCCUUAAUUCAAUAUGACUAGUAUUCUUAUAAGAAGAGAUGUAAAGACGGAUACAAAGGGAGAACACCAUGUGACGAUGGAGGCAGAGACUGGAGUGGUGUGUCUUCGUGCCAGAGAUUGUUGGUAACAUCAGAAGCUAAGAACGUGGAACAGACUUUCCCUCAGAGCUCUGUAGAAAAAGCCAACUUUGCCAACACCUUGAUUUUAGA
Molecule: long non-coding RNA, 419 nt
Organism: Hippopotamus amphibius kiboko
Lineage: Eukaryota; Metazoa; Chordata; Mammalia; Artiodactyla; Hippopotamidae
Exons: 3
Source: RefSeq, a predicted model, not a curated record